UACGGGGGGGGCAAGCGUUGUUCGGAAUUACUGGGCGUAAAGGGCUCGUAGGCGGCCAACUAAGUCAGACGUGAAAUCCCUCGGCUUAACCGGGGAACUGCGUCUGAUACUGGAUGGCUAGAGGUUGGGAGAGGGAUGCGGAAUUCCAGGUGUAGCGGUGAAAUGCGUAGAUAUCUGGAGGAACACCGGUGGCGAAGGCGGCAUCCUGGACCAAUUCUGACGCUGAUGAGCGAAAGCCAGGGGAGCAAACGGG
RNAcentral lists this ribosomal RNA (253 nucleotides) under uncultured bacterium. Its description in RNAcentral is "partial 16S ribosomal RNA". It matches the Rfam family "Bacterial small subunit ribosomal RNA", at positions 524 to 776 of the family's 1533-position model. The record is from RNAcentral.